This 253-nucleotide ribosomal RNA is filed under the name uncultured bacterium. RNAcentral describes it as "partial 16S ribosomal RNA". It matches the Rfam family "Bacterial small subunit ribosomal RNA", at positions 524 to 776 of the family's 1533-position model. The record is from RNAcentral.
UACGUAGGGAGCAAGCGUUAUCCGGAAUCAUUGGGCGUCAAGCGCGCGUAGGUGGCCAUGUAAGUCCGCUGUGAAAGUCAAAGGCUCAACCUUUGAAAGCCGGUGGAUACUGCAUGGCUAGAGUACGGAAGAGGCGAGUGGAAUUCCUGGUGUAGCGGUGGAAUGCGCAGAUAUCAGGAGGAACACCAAUAGCGAAGGCAGCUCGCUGGGACGUUACUGACACUGAGGCGCGAAAGCGUGGGGAGCGAACAGG